Danio rerio (zebrafish) is the source of this 104-nucleotide non-coding RNA. The record is from Rfam. NCBI's taxonomy places the organism in Eukaryota, Metazoa, Chordata, Actinopteri, Cypriniformes, Danionidae.
GUUCACAGCCAUAUCACCCUGCAGCCUCACUGAAGCUAAGCAGGGCUGAGACUGGUCAGUACCUGGAUGGGAGACCACUUAAGAAAACAAGGUUGAUGUUGGAA